Austrofundulus limnaeus is the source of this 277-nucleotide long non-coding RNA. RefSeq lists it as uncharacterized. NCBI's taxonomy places the organism in Eukaryota, Metazoa, Chordata, Actinopteri, Cyprinodontiformes, Rivulidae. The record is from RefSeq and is a predicted model, not a curated record. The transcript is spliced from 2 exons.
CAAUGCUCCUAAAAUAAAGGGAGACAUCAAAACACCAGACAUUGACAUCAAAACUCCUGAUCUUGAAAUUGAAGGGCCAAAGGGUGGAUUUGAAAUGCCUAAAAUCAAAAUGCCAUCACUGAACAUCAAAGGUCCUAAAGUAGAGAGCCCAGAUGUUGACUUGAGUCUAAAAGGACCUAAAGUUGAAGGUGAUGUGGAUGUUAAAGUGCCAAAAAUCAAAGGAGACAUAAAGACACCAGAAGUUGAGAUUGAAGGUCCAGACAUUGACAUUGAGGGC